AGUAAGCGGUCACACAAAGACGAGAAGAGUGGAGCUUCAGAAGCUUAGACAACGGGAAGCAAGGGAAGAAGUCCGGGCGCAAAAAUAUUGUGACCUUUACAGGGCGAGAAGCAGAAACGCGGAUAUAGUCACUCAGAGUUAUCUCCAGAGCAUCCAUGAUCACCUCUCCCCCGAGAUGCAGCGAAUCGCUUCCAUCCAGCACAUCCCGUCAGAGCCUGCCAUCCCCUUCACCGACUCCUCCAACACCAACACGGACACCAUGACGACCCUUCAAACAACCAUGGACGAAAUCCCUUCAAAGACCAUAGACUCCAUCGAUGGCAUGACAAAGGUCGAGGAGGGCGAGAUCGUGGAGGUAUAACGGGAAAUGUGUUUCCAUCCCAUUAGCUUGUUUUAGGCCGUCUCUCGUCCCUAUUAUCACUAUCCAUCAGCACCGUUGCCAUGGCGACACUUGAAGCCCGCAAGGAGGAAAUUCCUUCCAAGACAAUGAGAGUCCAUCGAGAGGAUGACUAAGAAGAUCGUGAUUGAGGGGUUAUAUGUAUAUCAAGGAAUUCCGAUUAGGGGUAUGGACUUAGCCUUGAUGAUGAAACUUUUGCCCCCUUCUUGCAAUCCAUCAUCUGCAUCGUUGCCAGGGCAACCCUUCCAAUCAGCCGAUGAUGAAUGAUGUCCCCUCUUGACCCCCUCCCCGGGAUCUGACUCAGGUGUAGGGAAGAGAGACCAUUGAGGAGCUACUAGCGAUGUUAAGCGAUCCGGUGAUGAGCGACAUUAUCAUUUCGACGCUUUAUCCAAGGAAAUGGCAUCUAGUGUGGUCCGCGUUAGUUUAUCAGUCAGUUUAAAAUGUUAGGAAGAAUACAACGUCAAUGGAUCAUUUAAGACAACUUCUUCCGGUGAUGUGUUUAAUACUCAUGGAGGUGACUGUGCUGGACAUCCAUCUUAAACGUGUACUUAUCAGAGAUGUGAUCGUCUCUACUCUGAAGAACAUUAAUUCAAAAGAAAAAAUAAAACGUAAGGAUGGAGAUGAAAUUAGGGGAUGAUGAAUAGGGAUCAAGUUUUACUAAUUCAUAGGUUGUCACAAAGAUUUUCAAAUAAUCAAAAUUAAUCAAAUAGGGUCCAGAUAAGGAACUACAGAUUCUUCGUGCAAAAGGAGAAAUCAUACAGCACUUUUUGUUUUGAUUUCCAAAUAUAAAUUUUACGUCAAAUGUACCUUCAGAAAAUUGAAAACUUCUUGUACAAAUACAAUAAAUGUAUUAACCGAUAUUAAAGGAAAAGGGAAACUUAGAUAAUAAUUUUAAAAAAAAACAAUAACUUGUAGGGUGAAAGUUCCCGAAAACUACAACACCAAAAAAAGGUAAUUAUAUUGUCCCCUUUCAGAGCGAAAAGUGACUAUGCAUUUAUAUCCAAACACACAACACAUGUAGCAUCUGUCUUCAGAUGAGGCUGGCAUCCCGUGUAAGAAUAACAACUGUAUAUAUAUACUUUUCAAUUUUAUUCAACAUGGGAGUGCUAUACAAGACAAAAGUACUUUCAAAUACGAGGUGCAAACAUGAUAAAAAAAUAAUCAUUUGUCGGCAAGGUCCAUUUUUGUUACUCAAUUGAAUAGCGCGCAGAGGUGUAAAUAUUUUUUGCUGUUCACUUGCUGAAAUGAUGUGGAUUUUCUGCAGUCUCAUUUGCAUUUAUGGAUAAUUUAUCACUGGAGGAAUUCAUUGCUACGAUUUUAUUAUAAAAAAAAAACAAUUUAAGCUUACAAGUAUUCAGCGAUUACAUGCAUAGGGAGAAAAAAGAGUUGAGUUGCCUUAGAUAUAUUUUAAUAGCAAAAGAAUCUGUCCAUUUAUUUGCGAUGUGUGAAAAGUAUUUUAUUUUGAGAGAAAAGAAAAGUACAUUCAUUAUUUUGUAAGUACUGGAUGAUCUCAGUGUAUCUGUGAUUCUGUGAAGAAAAAACAUAGCACCUAUCAUCUUGCAAUGAAAUGUUAUAGCUGCCUUUAGAAUAGAUGUAUUCAGAGUUUGGUGAAAACAGAAAGUGAUUUCUGGAUUUCUGUUAAUAGCCUAGAAACAAUGAUCUACCUGGUGAUUUGUCUUUUUUCUAUGUGUAUUGCAAUUUCAAAUGUUUCAGGUGUAUGAUUUCUGCCAGAUUAUUACGCAUCAUAGAUUUAUCAAAGACUCGUGUGAUACAAACUAUCCUAGAAACUAGUGUUUUUUAUUGAAAAGGAUUGUCAUCUUGUCCGUGUUUUGGCCUGUGAGUUUAUUAUGUUGAAAUAUUGUAUGACUUAAAGCUGUGCAAUUACCAGUGUUCCUUGUGGGUUAUUAUUUUUGUUUUGUUUUUUUUUCUCGAAUAUAUUUGGUGUAAUUAUAAAGGCACUCGUUGAAGAUAUACAUGUACUGUGCAUGCUUAUCUUAUUGGUGUUGGGGGUGUUACUUGUAUUGGCAGUGAAUAGUGUAUACAUAUUCACAUUGAAAUAUAACUGUGCUGUUGUUUUGUGAUGACAUCUGUUUGUGGUUAUUUGAAAUUGUUCAUUUUUUUUAUUGUUUUCGUAUGCCUUCUCACAAGUGCACUUCAAACUAGAAUUGGGACCAAGAUGCUACUCUUAAUGCUCAUAACCUUUUAAGUGUAUGGUUUCAUGCAUAAAAAUUGUUUGGUAUUCAUUUACUGAUACCUCAGUCACAUGUGUUCUACAGUGACCGUACGACAAGUCGAAAACAGCCGUUUUAACAUUUUUUGUACCAGCUAGAUAUAGGUGGUUUGAAUAAAUAUUAUUAAAACGGCUGUUUUCAACUCAGCGUACGGCCGCCGUAGAGCAAAUGUGACUGAGGUAUGAGACACUCAAAAUUAAGCCAUGAGAUAGUAUUAAUACCCCACAUUUGACUAUUCAAUAAAACAAAUUGUAUGACCUGCAACACCAGCAGUACUCAAGAACUCCCUUAAAAUAUGAAGGUUGGUUUUGUCCCAUCCAAAUGAUUUGUAUUUUUCAUAAAGAUAUUAGACAUUACAAAAAAAUAAGGCUGAUAUUUUUCACUCUUUUUCAGAUUUUUUUUAUGAUGCCCUGUAGUAUCUUGCCAUUCUCUAAACUAAAUAUUUGUAAAAUUUUAGAAAAAAAAGUGAUAAAUGCUUUAUGGUCCUGAUGGACCCGGCGAAACACAAAUUUUGUAAAACCAUUAGUAACCUAUCCAGUCUGCUCUGAAAUGGCAUUUUCUAACUAUAUAUCUCAAUUUUUGUAUUCAUCAUGGUAUUUAGUGCAUUUUUUGUAAUGCUAUUCAAUCUGUGAAGGGAAGAACUAGUCAACUUUGUAUAUUCGGAAAGAAGAACAAGAUUAUGAUGGGAUUUAAAUUUUUUUAGGUUUUUUAAUAAAUGUCAGAAAGUUU
Molecule: long non-coding RNA, 3357 nt
Organism: Lytechinus pictus (painted urchin)
Lineage: Eukaryota; Metazoa; Echinodermata; Echinoidea; Temnopleuroida; Toxopneustidae
Exons: 2
Source: RefSeq, a predicted model, not a curated record